UAUGUCGUAUAAUAAUUUACAAGUUUUAAGUAGCCGUGAAUUCCCGUUGAUUUAAAAAAUUGCGCAGUUUUUUUCCAUGCUUUUUAUAUGAGGGAAAAUGCGCAACAUCGUACGAGAAAAACAUUUCAAAAAACGACCAUAUUUUUGAGCUACUUUGAGCUGCACUCUAUGAUACUAAAAUUAAUUAUGUAAAAAGUUUGAAAUUUUUAUGUAUUUUUUUUUUUAAAUUUUGGACAAAGUUUGAAACUUUGAUUUACAUAGGUUUUGUUAUAUAUAGUAUCAACUAUAUUUAUAAAAAAAAAGUAUUUUAUAUUAGUUUACAAAAUUUUACCACAUUAAAAAAAAAAGAUAGUUAUGGUAAGUUAUGCGUUACCGCCAACGUACAUACAUACAUACAUACGUACGCGUUUACAUGUUCAUUUAUAUUUUCGUGGAUGUGUUUUUUAUUUAAGGGCCACGCGUUAAUGCGAUAUAAUAACGCAAGUGAGAGAAAUUGUGAAAAAAAUAUGUUUAUGUAUAGCAAACGAAAUUGGAUGAUGAUCUAAGGAAAUUCUAUGUAUUAAUACUAUUAAAAUGGUAAAAUAUAUCACAUGUGUAUAUUAUAUGUACUUAAUUUUUCAAUGUUGUUGUUGGUUUUAUUCUUUCUUCUGCUCAAGCAGUUGGUUUUCAACUGCCGAAUCUUACGUAUUAUGCUCUUCCAAUCAGCUAUUCAUUUAAUACGCGCUUAACUCUUCACAUCUUAGUGCAAGGAAACGCAUUUUUUAGUGUUGUAGUAGCAGCAGUCAUACUAGGCUCUCAAAUCACUCGCCGGCAGCAAAGACAAAGUUGCAGUCCGCCCCUCAACACGGGAAAUGACAGCUGUAUGACUGGAGAGCGCACGUAGACUACACGUAUGAUGAUGCACGAUACAAAGCGGCGUUCGACAACUUAACUUAGACUCAGCUAACGCCAUUUUUACAUUCGACUCGAUCAAAGCAGCCUAGGAAUAAACGCCAUUAACGCUCGAAUAAAAGACGCUCUCAAUCAGAAGCCCAUGUGCACGUAAAAUCUUCGUAGCACUCGAUCUGUCGAUGGCCCUCGACACCGAUUUCCACGCUACACUGUACACUGAUUCACCACUAUAUAUCAAGCGCUUGAUGUCAACAGGUAAAUUAAGGUUACCUCCAACCCUGUUUAGCAUGUACCUCUGCAAUCUUCCGCUCCAUCAUGGCAACUGGCAAGAUAUCGAAGAUUUGUGCAACGGUCUUUUAGUACGCGAAGUCUUCGCGGAGUCCACGGCCACCUUAUUCAUAACCUUGGUGAAAGACGUCAGGCUGGAGUUGGACCUAGAGACAGAUGGCACAAAAAUUCUGACCGUUCACCCCACGACAAUCAGCAGCAAACUCCGAAGCAGCAAUUAGGUCCUGCUUGCCACCUACUAGAUUAUCGGAUGAUAUGUAAACAACGACGACCUGUCGGUGGGCACCAGCAAUACACAGUGGACCAGGCUCCAAACCGGGUAGAAUACUGCCACUCGCUCCGCUACAGGUUCUCUUUUCGUUUCGGCGGAGCAACAUCUACAAGAUAAGACCAGAACUAACCGAAACACCUUAUAAACAGCACCUAAGUAAACUGGGACACCUAGAUUAGCACGCGAGAAACCCUUUGGGCAGAGGAGUCUACAUGGAAGAAUAGCUUACACCAUAAAGCAGUCGCGUUCGCAACUAGGCUGCCCCCAUUCACCUACAUGUAUCCCCUAAGAGAAUUUGACGUCCCCGAUAUACCAGAGUUACACUGAGCCAACUCCGAUCCAGUUGGUGUAGCAGACUCAAUUCAUACAGAGCAAGACUAAAUGUGCACAUCGAAAGCAUCGGUUCGCAUUCGGAAACGGAUUAAACGGUAUAAGUCACCUCUUUGGCACCGUAAAUAUUUCACACAUCUCUUAUCAUAUACUCAACCAAUGAAAACUGCGCGCCGCGGAGAUGACUAAACCGCUAUUUAGGGUUUAGACUAGCCGAAUUGGACAGGCCUUGGUAGUGCCCCCACAGCCAUCAAAAUCACAUAUCUUCCAAGAAGUUAAGACUAGGGACCGAGAACGCGCUCCGGUUUAUGUUUUAGUUCUGCACGAGAACUGUAACGUAAAGAGCGUUCCCGCAAAAGAGAACAAUGGGAACAAAAGCGUUCAGAGCAAUAUGAACGGGAACUAGAACAAAGUGUUCGGGAAUGUUUCCAAAAAGGUCAAAAUGCGAACAAAACUCUCGGGAACUUUCUCAAAAUAGAGAAAAAACUUCUAAAAACGAAAAGAACAGACUGAGAACGAAACUUUCGGGAACGUUUCCAAAGAGAACGGAAGUAUCGAAAAAUUUUUCAAGGAGGAUCAAAUAAGAACAAAAUUCUUGGGAAACGUUCUGCUAGAGAAUACAAGUUUUGAGAUCAUAACGUUAAGAAUCAGAGGGGCGGCUGCGUGUUGCGAUGAAAAAUCGUUUCAGUGAUUUAUCAGUAGGGUGACUGUCAGAUAGUUCCUGAGAAAUUGCUCCUUUUAAACUAUUGUUCCAGUUUUUUUUCUUUGUAAGAAAGUUCCGGACAUUUUUGUUGUUUUUUUGGUUCUUUUAGAAAUGUUCCCGAAAAUAUUGUUCGCAAUUUGUUCUCUUUGGGAAGGGUCCACAGAGUUUUUUCUUGUAUAAUUCCCGUUGAGAACUUUCUCGACAGCCUACUCACUUUCGUUUUUGUGAAAACAUUCCCGAAGAUUUUUUCUCAUUUUGGCUUGGAUUUUUAAGCGUUCUUGGGAACAAAACAACGAGAACGACCUUUGGUUUCGAUCAUAUCUCUUGCACUCGGUACCUGGUUUAGUCUGUGUAUGUGUAGGAAACAGAAGCCACUCUCAGCAUGUCUUUGUAAAGUACAGAUCAAUUAAGCGGGAAAAAAGUUUAAAAUCUCAAGCUCUCGCCUGUUAGGAUUUUCUUAAAUGGAAAAAUAGGAAUACCCGUAUUUUUUGUUAAAAGGAAGAAGAUAUUUAGAACUGCCUCAAAGCCCAUAAAGAUUUCCUUGUAUUUUAUAUGGAGAAAAAUAAUUCUUUUUGUUGAAAUUCUUGAAAUCAGUAUUUUUCGAUCGGAAAAUUCUGUUUCUCUUUAUGGAUGCCCCAUAACACCCAAUUGUUUAUUUAAUCAUUUUUAAUAUUAACUAUUUUUUAUAGGCCUUCUACAAUUCUUAAAAA
This 3193-nucleotide long non-coding RNA is filed under the name Rhagoletis pomonella (apple maggot). RNAcentral's name for it is "uncharacterized LOC118751978". The record is from RNAcentral. Lineage: Eukaryota; Metazoa; Arthropoda; Insecta; Diptera; Tephritidae.